CAAUAGCAUAUAUUAAAGUUGUUGCAGUUAAAAAGCUCGUAGUCGAAGGUGGGGCGGGUGUUGCGUGGGGGGCGUGCAAACGCCUCUCUCCAGCACAGCCCAUGCGUCGUAUCGGGCGGUCGUGCCGCAUUGAUUUGUGGGCGGUCGUCUGGACGCGUUUUACUGUGAGUAAAUUAGAGUGUUCCAGGCAGGCGGGCACGCCGAUGGAUAGUUUAGCAUGGAAUAAUAGUGGAGGACGGGCGCGAGCUGACGUUGGUUCCGCCGCGAGCGUAAUGAUUAACAGGGACAGUUGGGGGCAGUCAUAUUUGGUCGUCAGAGGUGAAAUUCUUGGAUUGGCCAACGAUGAACUUGUGCGAAAGCGUCUGCCAAGGAUGUUUNCAUUG
This 383-nucleotide ribosomal RNA is filed under the name uncultured eukaryote. Its description in RNAcentral is "partial 18S ribosomal RNA". It matches the Rfam family "Eukaryotic small subunit ribosomal RNA", at positions 592 to 975 of the family's 1831-position model. The record is from RNAcentral.